CAGUAGCCGCGGUAAUACAGAGGGUGCGAGCGUUAAUCGGAUUUACUGGGCGUAAAGCGUGCGUAGGCGGCUUCUUAAGUCGGAUGUGAAAUCCCUGAGCUUAACUUAGGAAUUGCAUUCGAUACUUGGAAGCUAGAGUAUGGGAGAGGAUGGUAGAAUUCCAGGUGUAGCGGUGAAAUGCGUAGAGAUCUGGAGGAAUACCGAUGGCGAAGGCAGCCAUCUGGCCUAAUACUGACGCUGAGGUACGAAAGCAUGGGGAGCAAACAGGAUUAGAUACCCGCGUAGUCCCUGUCUCUUAUAC
This 301-nucleotide ribosomal RNA is filed under the name uncultured bacterium. RNAcentral describes it as "partial 16S ribosomal RNA". It matches the Rfam family "Bacterial small subunit ribosomal RNA", at positions 509 to 807 of the family's 1533-position model. The record is from RNAcentral.